Molecule: ribosomal RNA, 806 nt
Filed under: gamma proteobacterium SCGC AAA015-G22
Lineage: Bacteria; Pseudomonadati; Pseudomonadota; Gammaproteobacteria
Description: SSU rRNA
Rfam family: Bacterial small subunit ribosomal RNA
Source: RNAcentral
AGUCGAACGAGAAAGCUCUUUCGGGAGUGAGUAAAGUGGCGGACGGGUGAGGAACGCGUAGGAAUCUGCCUAGUAGUGGGGGAUAACUCGGGGAAACUCGAGCUAAUACCGCAUACACUCUGAGGAGAAAAGCGGGGGACCUUUAGGCCUCGCGCUAUUAGAGGAGCCUGCGUUAGAUUAGUUUGUUGGUGAGGUAAUGGCUCACCAAGACUACGAUCUAUAGCUGGUCUGAGAGGACGAUCAGCCACACUGGAACUGAGACACGGUCCAGACUUCUACGGAAGGCAGCAGUUAGGAAUAUUGCGCAAUGGGCGAAAGCCUGACGCAGCGAUGCCGCGUGUGUGAAGAAGGCUCUAGGGUUGUAAAGCACUUUCAGUCGUGAAGAAAUUUAUUUUGUUAAUACCGAAAUGAUUUGACGUUAACGACAGAAGAAGUACCGGCUAACUCCGUGCCAGCAGCCGCGGUAAUACGGAGGGUACGAACGUUAAUCGGAAUUACUGGGCGUAAAGCGCGCGUAGGCGGUUCGUUAAGUGGGAUGUGAAAGCCCCGGGCUCAACCUGGGAACUGCAUUCCAAACUAGCGAGCUAGAGUGUGGUAGAGGGAAGUAGAAUUUGAUGUGUAGCGGUGAAAUGCGUAGAUAUAUCAAGGAAUACCAAUGGCGAAGGCAGCUUCCUGGACUAACACUGACGCUGAGGUGCGAAAGCGUGGGGAGCAAACAGGAUUAGAUACCCUGGUAGUCCACGCCGUAAACGAUGAGAACUAGCCGUUGGGAGGUUCGCCUCUUAGUGGCGCAGCUAACGCAAUAA